ACACCCUCGAACUCUGUCUGAAGAUUGUAGUCUGAGUAAAAAUAUAAAUUAUUUAAAACUUUCAACAACGGAUCUCUUGGUUCCGGCAUCGAUGAAGAACGCAGCGAAAUGCGAUACGUAAUGUGAAUUGCAAAUUCAGUGAAUCAUCGAGUCUUUGAACGCACAUUGCG
This 170-nucleotide ribosomal RNA is filed under the name Penicillium coprobium. RNAcentral describes it as "5.8S ribosomal RNA". The stretch from base 57 to 170 matches the Rfam family "5.8S ribosomal RNA", at positions 1 to 115 of the family's 154-position model. From Rfam's summary of the family: 5.8S ribosomal RNA (5.8S rRNA) is a component of the large subunit of the eukaryotic ribosome. It is transcribed by RNA polymerase I as part of the 45S precursor that also contains 18S and 28S rRNA. Functionally, it is thought that 5.8S rRNA may be involved in ribosome translocation. The record is from RNAcentral. Lineage: Eukaryota; Fungi; Ascomycota; Eurotiomycetes; Eurotiales; Aspergillaceae.